Sporosarcina sp. P33 is the source of this 72-nucleotide non-coding RNA. NCBI's taxonomy places the organism in Bacteria, Bacillati, Bacillota, Bacilli, Caryophanales, Caryophanaceae. The record is from Rfam.
GGCCCCUUGGUCAAGCGGUUAAGACACCGCCCUUUCACGGCGGUAUCACGGGUUCGAAUCCCGUAGGGGUCA